RNAcentral lists this ribosomal RNA (275 nucleotides) under uncultured prokaryote. RNAcentral describes it as "partial 16S ribosomal RNA". It matches the Rfam family "Bacterial small subunit ribosomal RNA", at positions 524 to 798 of the family's 1533-position model. The record is from RNAcentral.
UACGUAGGAGGCGAGCGUUGUCCGGAUUUACUGGGCGUAAAGGGAGCGUAGGCGGAUUUUUAAGUGAGAUGUGAAAUACCCGGGCUUAACUUGGGUGCUGCAUUUCAAACUGGAAGUCUAGAGUGCAGGAGAGGAGAAGGGAAUUCCUAGUGUAGCGGUGAAAUGCGUAGAUAUUAGGAGGAACACCAGUAGCGAAGGCGGCUCUCUGGACUGUAACUGACGCUGAGGCACGAAAGCGUGGGGAGCAAACAGGAUUAGAUACCCUGGUAGUCCCU